This 425-nucleotide ribosomal RNA is filed under the name uncultured bacterium. RNAcentral's name for it is "partial 16S ribosomal RNA". It matches the Rfam family "Bacterial small subunit ribosomal RNA", at positions 354 to 796 of the family's 1533-position model. The record is from RNAcentral.
GUUAGGAAUAUUGGACAAUGGGCGCAAGCCUGAUCCAGCCAUGCCGCGUGAGUGAUGAAGGCCUUCGGGUUGUAAAGCUCUUUAGUCCACGAAUAUAAUGACUGUAGUGGAAGAAUAAGCCCCGGCUAACUUCGUUCCAGCAGCCGCGGUAAUACGAAGGGGGCGAGCGUUAUUCGGAAUCACUGGGCGUAAAGCGUGCGGAGGCUGUUUUGUAAGUCAGAAGUGAAAGCCCAGGGCUUAACCCUGGAAUUGCUUUUGAAACUACAAGACUCGAAUUCGGGAGAGGAUAGCGGAAUUGUCAGUGUAGCAGUGAAAUGCGUAGAUAUUGACAGGAACACCAGUGGCGCAAGCGGCUAUCUGGACCGAUAUUGACGCUGAGGCACGAAAGCGUGGGGAGCAAACAGGAUUAGAAACCCCAGUAGUCC